Molecule: non-coding RNA, 95 nt
Organism: Pelobates cultripes (western spadefoot toad)
Lineage: Eukaryota; Metazoa; Chordata; Amphibia; Anura; Pelobatidae
Source: the annotation of a GenBank genome assembly
CACACAUACAUAAUACAUGUCUGUGUGUGUGUGUGUGUGUGUGUGUGUAUAUAUAUACACACAUACACACACACACACACACAUAUGUGUAUGUA